GAAGUUCCUGGGUGUCUUUAUGAUCUUCAGUGUCUCACACACAGUGCAGAACAUUGAAAGGCUCAAGAAAGAACUGAACUGAUCUUAUUCAGCAUGGACAGAUGCUUUCUACUCACUGUUAUUAUGGGAACAGGUUUGGUGUCUGGGGACAGUAUUGAGCCAGAUGAAGAUAAAAAUGUUAUCACAAAAGAAAGAGAAGCUGUCAAGCUGAGCUGCUCAUAUAGUGCAAGCAGCAAUUACAUUCGGCUUUUCUGGUACAGACAGUAUCUUAAUGGAGAACUUAUGUUUUUAACAUACAGAGGUGCUCGAUCAUGGAGUGCUGCAGACACUGCUGAUGCUCGGUUUCAGUCGAUUACUUCAGAUACAUCCACUGAACUCACUAUUACUGAUGUAUAUCUGUCAGAUUCAGCUCUCUAUUAUUAUGCUCUAUUAGUAGGAGCCCAAUGAUACAAAACAUAAAGAAUGUCGUACAAAAACCUGAAGCUCUUUUCACUUUGGACCUAACUAGUGAAAACCACAAUCAAAACCACAAUCUAUCCAUCAAAAAUGUAAUAAAAUAUGGUCACACCUGUGAGAAGCAGAUUGUUAAAGGCAUAAAAGUAAACCAGAAACAUUUAAAAGAAACAUUUUCAUAACAAGUUUCCUGCGUAAAUACAGCAUCAAAAUCUGCUCAGCAAAUUCCUUUUCUUUUGGUUACAGGCAAUCAUUUUAACCUUUAGAAUGAAAUAUUUGACAAUUGACAGUUAAUGUUGAAAACUGUGUAUUUUACAAAAUAUAUUAAAAGUAAAAAAAACCUGCA
This is a long non-coding RNA of Onychostoma macrolepis, 799 nucleotides long. RefSeq lists it as uncharacterized. Lineage: Eukaryota; Metazoa; Chordata; Actinopteri; Cypriniformes; Cyprinidae. The transcript has 2 exons. The record is from RefSeq and is a predicted model, not a curated record.